Molecule: long non-coding RNA, 1982 nt
Organism: Acanthochromis polyacanthus (spiny chromis)
Lineage: Eukaryota; Metazoa; Chordata; Actinopteri; Pomacentridae
Exons: 2
Source: RefSeq, a predicted model, not a curated record
CAAAGUUGAAAUCAAGAAACUCAGCUCUGCAAUAAAAUAAGGAGUGUCAUCGGGCUAUUCUUGGAUUCUGCCACUUGUUGACAGCAUUUCCAACCGAUCAGAGCUUUCAUUAUUGCUCGUGCUUGGUGGUGGGUUACUAUCUCCUCUGGGGGGUUUUGUGCUGUUUGACUGGAGGCGCAAAGGAGGAGGAGGAGGGGGGAAAAGAGCACAUGAGUCGCUGUCAUUCCACGCAACAUUUGCGGACGAGAGGAAUCCAGUGAGUAGCCUACUUGUUGCGAGCCAUACGGCGGCGGCAGCGUCCCGGAGCUGUCAAAUAUUGCGCACAGGCUUCAGUGUUGAGUCCGUGGAGUAACCAGACUAAUCCAGCAAGACAAACAACUCGGAAGAUGAACCUUUUUUUUAUUUCUGUUUUUUGUUUAGCCUCGCGAAACAAGUUGUCGUCGGCGCACCCGGAAGCCUGCUUUUAAAAUCAUGAUCAUUUCUGUCACAUGGUUUUGGAGAAUUCAAUAACAACAAAAAAUGGCGACAAUCACGUUGCUCUGUGUGGUCUUGCUGCGUCAUUAAAAAUAUUCAUGUAAACACGGGGGAUUAAACGGGGCAAUCGCAGUUGCUGCACAUGUUGCCGUCCACGUCCUCCGUGGACAGUUUUGGCCAGUGCGCCCUAAUGGAGUUGUUUACAUGAAGCGCGGAGGGGCGGACUCGGCCUGGCGAAGGGAGGAGGAGCCGCUAACGUCGGCCAAAGCGACGCGACCGGACUGCUCGAGAGGAGGAGGAGGAGGAGAGAGGAGGGGGAGGAGCCGGCGACCAGAAUCAUAACAAGUCUGACAUCACUCGGCCUUGUGGUUGGUAUGAAUAAUAUACUGUCUCGUCCAAAAGCAGGAAAGAGGUGAGGGAGGGAAAAGAGUGAAAUGAAACCUUUGUACCCGUUAUUGUUUUAUGAGAUGAAAUAUUUACCAGGAUACUGUGUAGCAGCAAGCUAGAGACUUUUUUUUUUUUUUAAAAAGAAAAAAGCUCAACUACAAGCUCAGAGACAUCACAGAUCCACAUCUGUUAGGUCACCGGGUUCGUGUUGCAUGUGCUGCCUUAUGCAUUAUUAACUGGAUUUUCUUUAGACACUGCGAAAGCUCCGUGAAAAAUGAUGUUGAAAAGCAAUGUCAGUGGAUUUCCAUGUGUUUGUCACUCUGUCACAUGCAGCUCCUAUCCUAAAAAGUCUAUUUUUUUUAACUCAUAAUGUGCAACUGAGUCUGUGUCAUGAAGGACAGAAUCAAUAUUUGUAACAGUUUGUCUGUGCAAAUAGCAAAACCUGUCAUACCUCCUACCAGAAUAAUGAUUCUUUGACUGUAAAUGUUGAGGGAUUUAACUGACUGCAACCUCUCACAUAACAGCAUCUUUCUUCUUAGCAGACUGCAUGUUUGUUUCUGCUCUAACCAACUACGAAUAGGCUUUUUUUUAAUCUCUGACUUUGAAACUUAAUUAAAAGGGAAUCAUUUUUGACUGAAAUGUUGUUGUUUUUUUCAAAUGUAAAUCCCAUCUUUAGGAGAUCAUUGGUGUAACGGAUACUUCAGUAACUGAUGUAUUGUUAAAUUGCAUGCCUGUAUCAGUCUGUAAGUGAAUCUGUUGUAGUUGUAGCUUCUGUGUGGUGCAAUAUACGAGAAGCUGGAGAUAUCACAUGAGAUACCACCAGAGGAGCUGCAGGAAUGCAAAAGGAAAACGGUAUCUUACAGCACGGAUAUUAUGGGUGGAUGACAAAUGGAGUGAAGCCACGGACUGCUAGAUUUGACAGGCUGCCCUGGUUCAGUUAUCACAGUGCUGAUGCUGUCCCCAUCGAAGGUACAGUACUGUGAUAACUGAAGGAUGGCUGCCAACUUGACACUAGUGCAGUGAUCAAAGCAGCAGAAGACCAAAGAGCAGGUGGACAAGUGUGAGUAUGUACAUUAAAAAAAGGUGUGAAGAUUAAUAAAAGUUCAACGGGAUAUUUAAAA